AGGACAACACAUUUUCCAGUGUACAGAAAACAGUCAAUGAUAUUGCAGCUAAAGCAAGACGCUUAGCGUAUGACCCAACCUACAUGUCACCAUUUGCUAUGCAUGCAAGGGAGAAUGGAAUGGAGUUUACAGGUGGUAAGCCAGAUGAUAUCACCGUCCUGAUGUCAACGGUUGGCUAUGACAGCGAUGACGACACAUAGCACUCACUCACCUCCGUCUUGAGAGAGAGAGGCGGUUUCCCUUGUAGACUCUAUAACAGACUGUUUGGUAUUUUGGUACCUCAGAUUGCAGUCCUGAAACAGUUUAUCUUGUGAAUAGAUUAUAUAUAUGGAGACUUGUUAGCUAGGCCAGAAACAAGAGGAUGGAAUAUGGUUUUGGGAUCAAAGGAUGGAUGAGGGAGCAACCGAGAGGAAGUUAUUGUGAUCCUUGGAAGUAAAAGUUCAGAUGUACUCUCCGAUUCAUGGUCUAUAUAUAAAAGUCAACAGUUUGAGAUGGGUGUAUAAUCUGUUCGUUGUGCAGCUUGUUUACAGGCGAUGUUGAGGGAAAAGCUUCUGUAUCUUUGGCAAAAACAUGGUUUGCCCUCCCCUCUAUCAAUAAGAGGUCAGUUUCCUCAAGACUGCUAUGCUAAAGAGGUGGAUAUUCAUGUUGCUUCUACAUAUUAAAGCUUAUCUAUCCAUCUAUACUGAUGGUCGAACAUCAAUGGUGCAAGGAGAUGCUGAGGAAAGAACUAACAAUUCAUGGUGUUUGUUGUUGUAGGUUACCUUCAACAUAGAGGAAGAGGUAUCUGGUCAGGAAUGAGGCAAUCUUUGUCUCACCCAACCAUUUCUCAGUCAAUGCCCAUGACAUCCAUAUCCUUUAAAGGAUCUCCCAGAUAAGAAAUCCAGUGAUCCCAAUGUCUUUCUACCCCCAACCAGGAUCAGCUGUGUCCUUUUAAGAGGUUUAUCCUGGUUGGGUUUUUAAAGUGGAAAACAGACGGGAUCAUCAGGGUAUGCAGUCUGGUGAAAUAAGAGUUAAAACAAUAUUAUCAUGUAGGCAGUGUCCAUUAAUGAAUUCAUUAAUAAUAAUCAUAAAUUUUAUAUAUAAAGACCAAAUGUUAUUCAUAAAAUGAUUGUAUGGUCAUAUUGGUGAAACAGUUUAUUACAGUGUUGUCAAGCCUAUACGUCUAUAACUCUCUCAAUAAUUUGCAAGGCAUGCUAGUCAUGUUUCUAUUUUAUUUUAUGAAUUAUUGUUUUUUUUUAUUGAAGAGAUACAUGUACAUGCUAAUUUAUGGUAUUUAUUAUAUUCAUCAUUUUAGAGAAGCAGCAAUAUCUGAAUCAUUUUUUUUUCUGUUCAAUAAUUUUUUUUUGGUUCUGAGAAUAUUGUAAUCUGAAUCCAGGUGAAGCAAUUCAACAAAAUAAUUUUCUGUUACAGAAAACCUUCAUACUCGAUCAAUCAUUAUCACUUCAUGGAAUAGUUGAAAUGUAUACUAUGUUCAUGGACAAUAGUAUGAUGGAGAUGACUUUGUUUAAUUCAAUUCAAGGUUCAUUCUUAAUCACAAUACAAGAAGCUCAGUCUUAUUUAGUGAAAAUAUUAGAAACGAGUGUGGAUUCACAUUAUUGCAAUUCAUAUCCAAAGACAUGCUAAACUUUAUAAACAGCUUUCUGAACGCCCUUUAAGAUCAGUUACUUCACCAAGCAGAAGUGCUAUCAAACAGUUUAUUCAGUGAAGUGUCUCUUAUUCUUUCUCCUUUUAGCACACUGUGCUUGCUACAUGUAUACAGCAUGUUUUAACAUGCUCUUUUUCACUCUUCCAUUUAGUAUUAAUUCAUGUGAAUGAUGUGAAAUGUUAUGUUCUCUUGCACAAGUUAUAGCAUCAGUUGUUAACCACAAAAAGAGGGACAAAAACACACUAGUUUGUUUUCACUGUAAAUUGUCAACUGAAUUGUGUUUUUUUUUCAAUUGAUGUGCUGAUUUUAAGUGAACAUAUUGUGUACCAUAUUGCAAUAUAUAUAUAUUGAAUCUUGUGUGUGAUUUGUAUUGUAUAAUGGUCUCUUUCACAGUCGGAUAGCCUUUCUCUUCAGACUUCUUGAAGUAAAUUAUUGAAUUCUGUUCACAAUCUGGAUAAUCUUUAAGUUUUGACUGAAGGAGUUUCAUACUGUGCAUAUGUUAAGAGGGUUUCAGAUUUGAGUUGGGAGUUUGGAUAUCAAACUACUUGUAGCUGAUGGAACACCAACUUUGCAAGGGAAGUUAAACUUGAUCAAUUAAAACAACUUUUAAAACUGUAAGUUACGAGCGAUGAUUAUCCUUUCUAGGAUCAACAUCAACUGAAUCAACAUCAAUGAACAUUUGGUGUAAUACUACAAGAAAGGACUGCCAAUUUUAUCGUAAAGUUGUUUGUAACUUACGAGCAGCUUAUGAAAUACCCACCAGAAGUAAUUGACAUUUAUAAUACAGAUAUGUAUGUGGAGGAAUUUUUAUUUAAAUUAAUUGAAAUUGCACCAUCUACCAUCCAAAUAUUGUGAAUUCUUCUUUUCUUCAUACAUCACUAUUUUUACAGACCCUGAAUUUCAAUGUUUUUCAAAAGCUACAUUCUAUGCCAGAUCUCGUAACAAAAUGUCACUUGUGGGCAUCUUGAUACAAACAAAAAUCUUCUAAAUUGAUUCAUACUAUGUAUACAUUUAUUUCAACCCACGACAAGCUUCAUUCAACCUUCAUAAAAUAAGAGCAGCGUUGUUAUAUAUUCCACUUUAAUAGUGAAGUUGUCUUGGCAUCAAGGCCAAAUUGCUUUAAAAUGGGAAAGGCAAAUGACAGUACUUUUUUUAGAUUAGAGCAGUCAUUAUCACAUAAAAUCGUUGCUUAGUAUAUUUAGAAAUAUAUAUGACUUUGACAAGACAAUAAAGAUCAUGUGACAUCCAGCAAUUUUCUGGUUUAUACAAGAUUGACUGUAAAACAUAGUGCUUCUGAACUGGAUAAUUUUCUUCUUUUUUGUUGUAAAAAAAAUGUCUCUUUAUGAUGUAUCAUUCAUUUGCUUGGCCAGCUUCAUGAUACAUACUACACUUAGUGGUUUCUUUUGCUGUCUGUAUGAUGAAUUGGCAUGAAAUCUUCAGAAUUCUGCAAGAGAUUCUUUGGAUAACAAAGUAUUAACUAUGUUGCUUUAUCAUACAUUGUACAUGUACAAAUGGAGUCUGCAUCAUUUAUGGAAAUCAGUAAAACACUUCCAAGUGUGGUUUUCUCUGUAUUUUUUAAUAAGUUAUUAAACAUUGGAAUUUGAUUUUUUUUUGUGUUUAAUCAAGAACAUAUCAAAAUUGAUAUAAUACGAGUAAAAAGACAGAAAUCCUAGGCUUUGCAUUGUCAACAUAUCAAUGAUUUCAUUUGAUUAUAAUAUUUGUUUUAUUUUUUAUUUUCAGUCCUUUUAUGCUGUCUGCUAUUUGUAUAAAGUCAGAAAAGGGUCAUUGUUUUAUAUAUUUAAUAUUAUGUAUUGCAAUAUUUAUUUGGUGCUGGGUGAACAUGAUGUGAACUAUUAUAAUCCAGUCAGAAAUUGUUGCAGAAAUAUCCUCAGUUUUAUCUUAUAACUACAUAUGAUGUCUUUUAUGUUAAAGUUUGUCUUUAAAAAAAAAAUUGUUUCCUGUUCCAUAAAAUUUGUUGGUAGCAGGAGCUAGAAUUCUAUGAGAGUGUCAUUUUAUCUUAACAUGUGACAUGAUUUCAGUAGCUUUUAACACUAGCUUGUAACCAGUCAUUCAUAACAAAUUGUAUCAAAGGUGAAAGGUUGUUUAUUUAUGAUGAAAUCAAUGAUAUACAAGUCUUUGUUAUGGGCCUCAUUUAGCUGGAAAGAAUUGUAUUCAAAGCGAAUCUUUCUCUUGGUAAGAGAUACAUGUACUUUAUAAUUGUGAAACAUUCAGACUAGACUUGUUUAGUGGCUGGUGCACAAGAUUCAUGUCUUUAGAACCAGCACACUUUCAAUUUACACCCGUCCGCAGGUUUCACAACGAUGCAUUUAUUUUAAUACCCCUUUCACAAACCCAAUUAUGCGGAUAAUAUCCGCACAAUUUGGUUGUAAAAUCGGAGCAGGACCAGAGUUAUCCGCAUUAUUUCGAUGCUGCAAUUAUCCGCAUAAUAGCAGCAUCGGGACCAGAUUUUGGCUUUGUGAAUGCAUUUCCAAAGUAAUUCGGAUAAUUGCCAUGUUAGCAAGAUUGACUUUAUUAUACCCUAUUAUUGGAAAAUAUUUCUUGCUUUAAAGUGAUAUUCAAUUACUAUUAUGCUAGAAUUAAUACAUCCUCCAUUCCUCCUCAAUUUCAAUGAAUUUUCCAUUUUUUUAAUGUUACAUAUAGUAUGUAAAGCUCUAAAGAUAAUUCACUGUAAUGAAUUUUUCAGCCGUCCAAUCAGAAAUGAUCUUUCAUCAGGACACAGCUGGAAGCUUGUUUGUGAUUGGUUGGACAGAAAAACUAUCUCUCUGCUCUAAUUCUGUCCUGUACAGUACCCUGACACGUACAUGUUUAUUAUACGGAGAGAUGGAUCAGUUUUUGUGUGUUUUUACUUUGAAAGUGGGCAUGGAAGGAGACCUCUCAUAAAUACAUGUUUUAAUAAAGAAUGAAAUCUUGUCAGUGUAUAUUAUAUUGACAGAUAUGAUAGAAUGUAUAUUGUUUUAUUUGCCAAUAAAAUAAAAGAGAUUUUUCACAUUA
Lytechinus pictus (painted urchin) is the source of this 4657-nucleotide long non-coding RNA. RefSeq lists it as uncharacterized. The record is from RefSeq and is a predicted model, not a curated record. Lineage: Eukaryota; Metazoa; Echinodermata; Echinoidea; Temnopleuroida; Toxopneustidae. The transcript has 2 exons.